RNAcentral lists this unclassified non-coding RNA (176 nucleotides) under uncultured Ascomycota. RNAcentral's name for it is "sequence contains ITS1". Lineage: Eukaryota; Fungi; Ascomycota. The record is from RNAcentral.
CAGAGUUGCAAAACUCCCAAAACCAUUGUGAACGUUACCAAAAAUCGUUGCUUCGGCGGGCGGCACUACCCGGUGCCUCCCCUCCUAAACCAGGGGCCUUAGCAGGCGCCCGCCGGAGGCUUAUAACUCUUGUAUUCUUGCACGGCCUCUCUGAGUCUCUGUACUUUAAUAAGUCA